ACUCAAAGGAAUUGACGGGGGCUCACACAAGCGGUGGAGCAUGUGGCUUAAUUCGAGGCUACGCGAAGAACCUUAUCCUGGGCUUGACAUGUGCGAAAGCGGUGGGUGUUGUAGCUGCCGGAAACGGCCAGCGAACCCGCAAGGGGGACCCACUACAGGUGCUGCAUGGCUGUCGUCAGCUCGUGUCGUGAGAUGUCGGGUUAAGUCCCAUAACGAGCGAAACCCUUGUCUCCAGUUGCCAGCGGGUCAAGCCGGGGACUCUGGAGAGACUGCCGGUGUUAAACCGGAGGAAGGCGGGGAUGACGUCAAGUCCUCAUGGCCUUUAUGCCCAGGGCUGCACACGUGCUACAAUGGCGUGAACAAAGGGACGCAAAGCCGCGAGGCCCAGCCAAUCCCAAAAAACACGCCCCAGUUCAGAUCGGAGGCUGCAACUCGCCUCCGUGAAGUUGGAAUCGCUAGUAAUCGCGGGUCAGCAACACCGCGGUGAAUGUGUUCCUGAGCCUUGCACACACCGCCCGU
This 519-nucleotide ribosomal RNA is filed under the name uncultured bacterium. RNAcentral describes it as "partial 16S ribosomal RNA". It matches the Rfam family "Bacterial small subunit ribosomal RNA", at positions 899 to 1397 of the family's 1533-position model. The record is from RNAcentral.